RNAcentral lists this unclassified non-coding RNA (253 nucleotides) under uncultured Cellvibrionales bacterium. RNAcentral describes it as "contains 16S-23S intergenic spacer region". It matches the Rfam family "Bacterial small subunit ribosomal RNA", at positions 524 to 776 of the family's 1533-position model. Lineage: Bacteria; Pseudomonadati; Pseudomonadota; Gammaproteobacteria; Cellvibrionales. The record is from RNAcentral.
UACGGAGGGUGCAAGCGUUAAUCGGAAUUACUGGGCGUAAAGCGCGCGUAGGCGGUUAGUUAAGCCAGCUGUGAAAUCCCCGGGCUCAACCUGGGCACUGCAGUUGGAACUGGCAAGCUAGAGUAGGGUAGAGGGGUGUGGAAUUUCAGGUGUAGCGGUGAAAUGCGUAGAUAUCUGAAGGAACAUCAGUGGCGAAGGCGACACCCUGGACUCAUACUGACACUGAGGUGCGAAAGCGUGGGGAUCAAACAGG